RNAcentral lists this ribosomal RNA (930 nucleotides) under uncultured soil bacterium. RNAcentral describes it as "bacterial SSU rRNA". It matches the Rfam family "Bacterial small subunit ribosomal RNA", at positions 8 to 916 of the family's 1533-position model. The record is from RNAcentral.
AGAGUUUGAUCCUGGCUCAGAAUCAACGCUGGCGGCGUGCCUAACACAUGCAAGUCGAACGCGAAAGUCCCGCAAGGGAUGAGUAGAGUGGCAAACGGGUGAGUAACACGUGGGUGACCUGCCUUCGAGCGGGGGAUAACGUCCCGAAAGGGACGCUAAUACCGCGUAAUAUGCCGCCUUUUAACAGGUGGACAUCAAAGCUGGGGAUCGCAAGACCUAGCGCUUGAAGAGGGGCCCGCGUCUGAUUAGCUAGUUGGUGGGGUAAUGGCUCACCAAGGCAACGAUCAGUAUCCGGCCUGAGAGGGCGGACGGACACACUGGGACUGAGACACGGCCCAGACUCCUACGGGAGGCAGCAGUGGGGAAUUGUUCGCAAUGGGCGCAAGCCUGACGACGCAACGCCGCGUGGAGGAUGAAGACCUUCGGGUCGUAAACUCCUUUCGAUCGAGACGAAUGGCCUCCGGGUGAACAAUCCGGAGGAGUGACGGUACCGAGAGAAGAAGCCCCGGCUAACUCCGUGCCAGCAGCCGCGGUAAUACGGGGGGGGCAAGCGUUGUUCGGAAUUACUGGGCGUAAAGGGCUCGUAGGUGGCCAACUAAGUCAGACGUGAAAUCCCUCAGCUUAACUGGGGAACUGCGUCUGAUACUGGAUGGCUUGAGUUUGGGAGAGGGACGCGGAAUUCCAGGUGUAGCGGUGAAAUGCGUAGAUAUCUGGAGGAACACCGGUGGCGAAGGCGGCGUCCUGGACCAACACUGACACUGAUGAGCGAAAGCCAGGGGAGCAAACGGGAUUAGAUACCCCGGUAGUCCUGGCCCUAAACGAUGAAUGCUUGGUGUGGCGGGUAUCGAUCCCUGCCGUGCCGAAGCUAACGCAUUAAGCAUUCCGCCUGGGGAGUACGGUCGCAAGGCUGAAACUUAAAGGAAUUGACGG